This is a long non-coding RNA of Exaiptasia diaphana, 162 nucleotides long. RefSeq lists it as uncharacterized. The transcript has 3 exons. The record is from RefSeq and is a predicted model, not a curated record. Lineage: Eukaryota; Metazoa; Cnidaria; Anthozoa; Actiniaria; Aiptasiidae.
GAAGAUGAUAAAAAAGGCUGUAACCAGAAAGAGAAACAAGAAAGCAAUAAAGGGAAAUAUUCAAAGCAAAAUUUAGCACCUAGGUUUUGCAGCACAGGAGUGGACAAUCCAGUAUCGAAAAAAGAAAAAGUUGAGAAUGAUUGCAGCUUGCCAGAGGAGAAC